AUUGAACGCUGGUGGCAGGCUUAACACAUGCAAGUCGAACGGUAACAGGAAUUAGCUUGCUGAUUUGCUGACGAGUGGCGGACGGGUGAGUAAUGCUUGGGAAUCUGGCUUAUGGAGGGGGAUAACUACGGGAAACUGUAGCUAAUACCGCGUAAAAUCUUCGGAUUAAAGGGUGGGACUUUCGAGCCACCUGCCAUAAGAUGAGCCCAAGUGGGAUUAGGUAGUUGGUUAGGUAAAGGCUGACCAAGCCGACGAUCUCUAGCUGGUCUGAGAGGAUGACCAGCCACACUGGAACUGAGACACGGUCCAGACUCCUACGGGAGGCAGCAGUGGGGAAUAUUGCACAAUGGGGGGAACCCUGAUGCAGCCAUGCCGCGUGAAUGAAGAAGGCCUUCGGGUUGUAAAGUUCUUUCGGUGACGAGGAAGGUUGAUAGGUUAAUAGCCUAUCAAAUUGACGUUAAUCACAGAAGAAGCACCGGCUAACUCCGUG
This 490-nucleotide ribosomal RNA is filed under the name uncultured bacterium. Its description in RNAcentral is "partial 16S ribosomal RNA". It matches the Rfam family "Bacterial small subunit ribosomal RNA", at positions 30 to 507 of the family's 1533-position model. The record is from RNAcentral.